This 500-nucleotide ribosomal RNA is filed under the name uncultured bacterium. RNAcentral's name for it is "bacterial SSU rRNA". It matches the Rfam family "Bacterial small subunit ribosomal RNA", at positions 28 to 528 of the family's 1533-position model. The record is from RNAcentral.
GAUGAACGCUAGCGGCAGGCCUAAUACAUGCAAGUCGAACGGUAAGGCCCUUUCGGGGGUACACGAGUGGCGGACGGGUGCGUAACGCGUAUGCAACAUGCCUUCCAGCGGGGGAUAUACCAGGGAAACUUGGCGCAAUACCCCAUAGAAUUACGGGACCGCAUGGUCUUGUGAUUAAAACUCCGGUGCUGGGAGAUUGGCAUGCGUGACAUUAGCUAGUUGGCGGGGUAACGGCCCACCAAGGCGACGAUGUCUAGCUGGUCUGAGAGGAUGAUCAGCCACACUGGGACUGAGACACGGCCCAGACUCCUACGGGAGGCAGCAGUAGGGAAUAUUGGACAAUGGGGGGAACCCUGAUCCAGCCAUGCCGCGUGAGGGAAGAAGGUCCUCUGGAUUGUAAAGCUCUGUGGGGGAGAAGAAGAAAGCCGGUGAAGAGCCGGCCCUGACGGUAUCCCUUAGCAAGCACGGCUAACUCCGUGCCAGCAGCCGCGGUAAAGUGU